RNAcentral lists this ribosomal RNA (465 nucleotides) under uncultured Klebsiella sp. RNAcentral describes it as "bacterial SSU rRNA". It matches the Rfam family "Bacterial small subunit ribosomal RNA", at positions 338 to 795 of the family's 1533-position model. Lineage: Bacteria; Pseudomonadati; Pseudomonadota; Gammaproteobacteria; Enterobacterales; Enterobacteriaceae. The record is from RNAcentral.
CCUACGGGUGGCAGCAGUGGGGAAUAUUGCACAAUGGGCGCAAGCCUGAUGCAGCCAUGCCGCGUGUGUGAAGAAGGCCUUCGGGUUGUAAAGCACUUUCAGCGGGGAGGAAGGCGUUAAGGUUAAUAACCUUGGCGAUUGACGUUACCCGCAGAAGAAGCACCGGCUAACUCCGUGCCAGCAGCCGCGGUAAUACGGAGGGUGCAAGCGUUAAUCGGAAUUACUGGGCGUAAAGCGCACGCAGGCGGUCUGUCAAGUCGGAUGUGAAAGCCCCGGGCUCAACCUGGGAACUGCAUUCGAAACUGGCGGGCUAGAGUCUGGUAGAGGGGGGUAGAAUUCCAGGUGUAGCGGUGAAAUGCGUAGAGAUCUGGAGGAAUACCGGUGGCGAAGGCGGCCCCCUGGACAAAGACUGACGCUCAGGUGCGAAAGCGUGGGGAGCAAACAGGAUUAGAUACCCUAGUAGUC